CAACCCUCAAGCGCUGUUCCGCUUGGAGUUGGGGCUCUUGCACUUUAUAUUGCUUUGCAAGCCCUGAAAUUCAGCGGCGGGCCCGCCGGCACACCGAGCGCAGUAAUUUACUUCUCGCUUAGGGCGUGCGGCGCGGCGCAGCCGACUUCUAAAACUUUCCAA
Molecule: unclassified non-coding RNA, 162 nt
Filed under: uncultured Togniniaceae
Lineage: Eukaryota; Fungi; Ascomycota; Sordariomycetes; Diaporthales
Description: sequence contains ITS2
Source: RNAcentral